RNAcentral lists this ribosomal RNA (292 nucleotides) under uncultured bacterium. RNAcentral's name for it is "partial 16S ribosomal RNA". It matches the Rfam family "Bacterial small subunit ribosomal RNA", at positions 505 to 796 of the family's 1533-position model. The record is from RNAcentral.
GUGUCAGCAGCCGCGGUAAUACGAAGGGGGCUAGCGUUGUUCGGAAUCACUGGGCGUAAAGGGCGCGUAGGCGGCCGAUUAAGUCGGGGGUGAAAGCCUGUGGCUCAACCACAGAAUUGCCUUCGAUACUGAUUGGCUUGAGACCGGAAGAGGUCAGUGGAACUGCGAGUGUAGAGGUGAAAUUCGUAGAUAUUCGCAAGAACACCAGUGGCGAAGGCGGCUGACUGGUCCGGUUCUGACGCUGAGGCGCGAAAGCGUGGGGAGCAAACAGGAUUAGAUACCCCCGUAGUCC